GCGCGUAGGUGGUUUGGUCAGUCAGAUGUGAAAGCCCUGGGCUUAACCUGGGAAUUGCAUUUGAUACUGCCAGACUAGAGUAUGGUAGAGGGAAGUGGAAUUCCGGGUGUAGCGGUGAAAUGCGUAGAUAUCCGGAGGAACAUCAGUGGCGAAGGCGGCUUCCUGGACCAAUACUGACACUGAGGUGCGAAAGCGUGGGUAGCAAACA
This 208-nucleotide ribosomal RNA is filed under the name uncultured bacterium. RNAcentral's name for it is "partial 16S ribosomal RNA". It matches the Rfam family "Bacterial small subunit ribosomal RNA", at positions 567 to 774 of the family's 1533-position model. The record is from RNAcentral.